Molecule: ribosomal RNA, 440 nt
Filed under: uncultured bacterium
Lineage: Bacteria
Description: partial 16S ribosomal RNA
Rfam family: Bacterial small subunit ribosomal RNA
Source: RNAcentral
CCUACGGGUGGCUGUAGUGGGGAAUAUUGCACAAUGGGGGGAACCUUGAUGCAGCAACGCCGCGUGGGUGAAGACGUACUCCGGUAUGUAAAGCCCUUUCAGCAGGGAAGAAAAUGACGGUACCUGACCCAGAAGCCCCGGCUAACGACGUGCCAGCAUCCGCUGUAAUCCGUAGGGGGCAAGCGUUAUCCGGAUUUACUGGGUGUAAAGGGAGCGUAGACGGCAAGGUAAGGCUGGAGUGAAAGCCCGUGACCCAACCACGGGACUGCUUUGGAAACUGUGUUGCUGGAGUGAAGGAGGGGUAAGCGGAAUGCGUAGUGUAGCGGUGAAAUGCGUAGAUAUUAGGAGGAACACCGGUGGCGAAGGCGGCUUACUGGACUGUAACUGACGUUGAGGCACGAAGGCGUGGGGAGCAAACAGGAUUAGAUACCCGUGUAGUC